UACGUAGGGGGCUAGCGUUGUCCGGAUUUAUUGGGCGUAAAGAGCGUGUAGGCGGCCAGGUAGGUCUGCUGUGAAAACUCGAGGCUCAACCUCGAGACGUCGGCGGAAACCAUCUGGCUAGAGUCCGGAAGAGGAGAGUGGAAUUCCUGGUGUAGCGGUGAAAUGCGCAGAUAUCAGGAAGAACACCCGUGGCGAAGGCGGCUCUCUGGGGCGGUACUGACGCUGAGACGCGAAAGCGUGGGGAGCGAACAGG
RNAcentral lists this ribosomal RNA (253 nucleotides) under uncultured bacterium. RNAcentral's name for it is "partial 16S ribosomal RNA". It matches the Rfam family "Bacterial small subunit ribosomal RNA", at positions 524 to 776 of the family's 1533-position model. The record is from RNAcentral.